RNAcentral lists this ribosomal RNA (465 nucleotides) under uncultured bacterium. RNAcentral's name for it is "bacterial SSU rRNA". It matches the Rfam family "Bacterial small subunit ribosomal RNA", at positions 338 to 795 of the family's 1533-position model. The record is from RNAcentral.
CCUACGGGUCGCAGCAGUGGGGAAUAUUGCACAAUGGGCGCAAGCCUGAUGCAGCCAUGCCGCGUGUGUGAAGAAGGCCUUCGGGUUGUAAAGCACUUUCAGCGGGGAGGAAGGCGUUAAGGUUAGUAACCUUGGCGAUUGACGUUACCCGCAGAAGAAGCACCGGCUAACUCCGUGCCAGCAGCCGCGGUAAUACGGAGGGUGCAAGCGUUAAUCGGAAUUACUGGGCGUAAAGCGCACGCAGGCGGUCUGUCAAGUCGGAUGUGAAAUCCCCGGGCUCAACCUGGGAACUGCAUUCGAAACUGGCAGGCUAGAGUCUUGUAGAGGGGGGUAGAAUUCCAGGUGUAGCGGUGAAAUGCGUAGAGAUCUGGAGGAAUACCGGUGGCGAAGGCGGUCCCCUGGACAAAGACUGACGCUCAGGUGCGAAAGCGUGGGGAGCAAACAGGAUUAGAUACCCGUGUAGUC